RNAcentral lists this ribosomal RNA (460 nucleotides) under uncultured bacterium. RNAcentral's name for it is "partial 16S ribosomal RNA". It matches the Rfam family "Bacterial small subunit ribosomal RNA", at positions 338 to 795 of the family's 1533-position model. The record is from RNAcentral.
CCUACGGGUGGCAGCAGUGAGGAAUAUUGGUCAAUGGGCGCGAGCCUGAACCAGCCAAGUCGCGUGAGGGAAGACGGUCCUAUGGAUUGUAAACUUCUUUUGUCGGGGAGUAAAAGUCGCCACGUGUGGCUUUUUGCGUGUACCCUAUGAAUAAGCAUCGGCUAACUCCGUGCCAGCAGCCGCGGUAAUACGGAGGAUGCGAGCGUUAUCCGGAUUUAUUGGGUUUAAAGGGGGCGGAGGUGGGAGGUUAAGUCAGCGGUUAAAUUUUGUGGCUCAACCUUAAAAUUGCCGUUGAAACUGGAAGUCUUGAGUGCGUGUGAGGUAGGCGGAAUGCGUGGUGUAGCGGUGAAAUGCAUAGAUAUCACGCAGAACCCCGAUUGCGAAGGCAGCAUACCAACGCACAACUGACACUGAUGCACGAAAGUGUGGGUAUCGAACAGGAUUAGAUACCCGAGUAGUC